This 86-nucleotide transfer RNA is filed under the name Alistipes sp. Its description in RNAcentral is "tRNA-Tyr". It matches the Rfam family "tRNA". From Rfam's summary of the family: Transfer RNA (tRNA) molecules are approximately 80 nucleotides in length. Lineage: Bacteria; Pseudomonadati; Bacteroidota; Bacteroidia; Bacteroidales; Rikenellaceae. The record is from RNAcentral.
GGGAGAGUACCAGAGUGGCCAAAUGGGACAGACUGUAAAUCUGUUGGCGCACGCCUUCGGUGGUUCGAAUCCAUCCUCUCCCACCA